CUAGCUGGUCUGAGAGGAUGACCAGCCACACUGGAACUGAGACACGGUCCAGACUCCUACGGGAGGCAGCAGUGGGGAAUAUUGCACAAUGGGCGCAAGCCUGAUGCAGCCAUGCCGCGUGUAUGAAGAAGGCCUUCGGGUUGUAAAGUACUUUCAGCGGGGAGGAAGGGAGUAAAGUUAAUACCUUUGCUCAUUGACGUUACCCGCAGAAGAAGCACCGGCUAACUCCGUGCCAGCAGCCGCGGUAAUACGGAGGGUGCAAGCGUUAAUCGGAAUUACUGG
Molecule: ribosomal RNA, 282 nt
Filed under: Escherichia coli
Lineage: Bacteria; Pseudomonadati; Pseudomonadota; Gammaproteobacteria; Enterobacterales; Enterobacteriaceae
Description: partial 16S ribosomal RNA
Rfam family: Bacterial small subunit ribosomal RNA
Source: RNAcentral